CGGAGAGGCUGGAGAAAGGGAGGAAGACGGUGUGGGGCUAGCAGACUGGGUCUCUGCCCCUAAGCGAGAAGAAGCUGCUUCCUGCACCCCGGCAGAACAGAAAGAAUGGAACACGGGCCUUAAUGGGAGAUAUUUUGGGAGCUGCAGACACAGAAGUCAACAAUCUGUUCCCUCGUGAGGGCUCUGACCUCUCAAAGGGAAGGAAAAC
Molecule: long non-coding RNA, 208 nt
Filed under: Fukomys damarensis (Damara mole-rat)
Lineage: Eukaryota; Metazoa; Chordata; Mammalia; Rodentia; Bathyergidae
Description: lncRNA (ENSFDAG00000028656.1)
Source: RNAcentral